GUUAAGGGGACGGACGCCUGGUUCGAGGUCUCUUGAGAGUGAGCCCUCUCUCUGACUCUCUCUCUCUCUCUCUCUCUCUCUUAAAGAGCGUGCUCGGGAGAUCUCGGACCAGGCUUCCAUCCCUUUAAC
Molecule: microRNA precursor, 129 nt
Filed under: Ananas comosus (pineapple)
Lineage: Eukaryota; Viridiplantae; Streptophyta; Magnoliopsida; Poales; Bromeliaceae
Description: mir-166 microRNA precursor family
Rfam family: mir-166 microRNA precursor family
About the family: This family represents the plant microRNA (miRNA) precursor mir-166.
Source: Rfam by way of RNAcentral